This is a long non-coding RNA of Nothoprocta perdicaria, 785 nucleotides long. RefSeq lists it as uncharacterized. Lineage: Eukaryota; Metazoa; Chordata; Aves; Tinamiformes; Tinamidae. The transcript has 4 exons. The record is from RefSeq and is a predicted model, not a curated record.
UAAGUACUGAAUAACCCAAUUGUUUUGCCAUUUGCACUCCACAAAUCUGAUUUGGACUCUCCACUUAUUCUUCACUGAGGUAAUGCAAUUGACUUCCUUGGAAGUAAUUGCCGAUUACAGUAAUUUAAAGGCUUGUCUACAUGAAGCAUUUUGUACCGACUGAAUUAGGGUGUGAAAGUAAAUCACAUUAGCUCUUCCCCAAGUCUCUGUGUGGACACUCCUAUUCUGGGUGCCUUCAUGGAGUUUGGAUUUAAUCCACUUCCAAAAUUAAUUAACAUAUUAAUUUAUUCUGUGCUAACUUUCUCACAGUUAUCAAGCUAACUCAGUAUUGUUCCCAUUAGCUGUAAGCUCCCAAGUCACCUGUCUCUUCUCUUUCUCUUUCAUUUAUUCCUCUUAUCCUGCAGUGUGGUUAUAUACUCUGCUUCUGAAAUAUUCUCAAUCCUGGAAUUGGCCAUUUCGGAGCUAAAUAUUUCAUGUUGAGUCCUCUCUCUGUGUCUCAGUGUGAUGAGGAGGAUACAUAGUUACAUGUGAAACUCUCAGGUCCCUGCAGUGAAGUUUAGACAGAAAAAAACUGACUGGAAACUUGCUGAAGCUGAUACAACAGGAUGGUGGGCUUUUGUCCAUGCCUAAACURCAGUGGCUGCACCUACAGUAUCAGAUGAGAUCAAAUGAGGAUCUUCCUCUCACUCCCAAGAAGUCUGACUCAACUGAGAUAUGCACCAGGUGAACACACCAAACCAAAGAGCUGGAACAUUCACGUGAAGAGAAGCUGCUGCAACUUGCCU